RNAcentral lists this long non-coding RNA (450 nucleotides) under Cicer arietinum (chickpea). Its description in RNAcentral is "long non-coding RNA (CARI_LNC000462)". Lineage: Eukaryota; Viridiplantae; Streptophyta; Magnoliopsida; Fabales; Fabaceae. The record is from RNAcentral.
CCUUUUAUUUUCUUUAACCAUUACAUCAUUCUUUUGCAUUAUCAUUAGGAUUGUCAUUAUUACUGGUAUUAUUAUUAUUAUUAUUUAGUUAUUUAUAUAAUUAAACAAAAAAAAAAGAAAAUAAUAAUAAUAAUAAUAAUAAUAAUAAUAAUAAUAAUAAUAAUAAUAAAUAAUAAUAAAACAAUAGGGUACAGAGAAGAGAGAAGGAAGUGCAGCCGGUAACGGUCUGUCGCCUACGACCACUUUCUUCUCCGUCGUGCCGCUGCCACAUAAGGCCCGAUUUGCUUGGAUAUUUCUUUCCUCUCGCACGCAUGUGUCAUUCUGUGUUUCUAUUUUUCGCGUCUUUUUCCUUUAGCUUGUAAUAAUGUAAUCUUGUGCUUUUAGGUGAUUAGAGAUUGGUGCCUUGACCCAAUUCAUUUAGUUUCAUGCGUCUUUAUGCCUAUAUUUGGU